Styela clava is the source of this 2214-nucleotide non-coding RNA. The record is from RefSeq and is a predicted model, not a curated record. Lineage: Eukaryota; Metazoa; Chordata; Ascidiacea; Stolidobranchia; Styelidae.
UGAUGAAGAUAUUACUAGCUGAUUAUUUAGGAAUGCCUAGUAUAUGAUAAAAGAAAUGGAAAAUGAAGACAAGCGUCCUAAGUGAUUUAAGAGUGUUGCUGCCACUAACGAAACGUUACACUAACGAAUAUAUUUAUAUGUCAGUGUGAAGCAACCCUCUUGAAUCACCUAAAAUAGUUAUCAGCACUCUUGCUACAGCAUCCUUGCAUUAUAUGCAUAUGGAUCAGCGGCAUAAAAGAAGGAUAAGGAGUUAGUCGCGCGUAGAAUCCCAAUCGAUAGCCAAAAGACAAGAUAAUAAUAAUUAGCAAUAACUUUACUUCUUUUUGUUAGGACAAUGUUCAUUUCGAUUGGCUAUGCUUGUCAAUGGAAACUUUGCAAGCAGUUGCAAUUGCUGGGAUCAAUCAAGCUGAUGAAAUGUUCCUAGGAUGACAUUGAGCAAUGAUAUAAGUGUCGUUAAUUUACAUUUCUUUCUCUAGUUUCAUAAGUAUUUAAAAAUUGUUAUUGCCCUAUUUAUUUAAACUCGUGAUUCUGUUCUUAUGGUGAAGCCUGAUGAUUAACAUUGAAUGCAACAACUUAACUGCUUGUUUGGGUUGUCGUGAUUCGUUAAUGUGGACAGGGCAGGCAAUCACUUCUAGUAUUUGGUAACUUUCAUACGAACUUGUAAAAUAUUUACUUUAUAUUUCUCCUCAAUAACAUGAUUAUAUUCACAUUAUUAAGGAAAUAUCUACGCCUGCUUGCCACUCGACCAAGCAAAGCAGUCAGUCAAUCGUGACUGGCCACAAAUAUCCGAUCGGGAGUUUGCGACAUCGCUUUUUUUGUUUGCGCUAAAUUAAUCGUCACAUAGGCACUCCAUUCCACUUCACUGAAUGAAGUACCAAGACGUGUCAAAUUUCCCCACGAAUCGGCGACACUCAAAUCUUUCAAAACGGUGACAAGGAGGCCAAAUAGUUGCUUUUGUGGCAUGUAUCGCGUAUCGGGGUACUCGAGAGCGAUAAAUUUGAUACCUCUAAACAUGAUUUGAAACAGUAAAUAAAGUUUGAACACGAGACGGCAAAAUCGAUUAGUGGGCCUUUAUCGGCGUAAAAUAAUCAAGCACAUCGCGCUAAUCCGUUUAAAAUCGUCUAUAUUAUCGUGCUAAGCUGUUUGAAAUCUUGCAUAUUACAUCUAUUAUUGCAGAAACCAUGAGAGGAAUAGGUAUAAGUGUCCCAAAAUUUUCAACCUAUUUCAAUGACGUAAUGUAGUUCAAUUUUGCUUAUUUUAGUGACGGGGGUGAUAUUUUUUAGUCAUUGUAUUACACCCUGUUACUCCCAAACUAGUUUAACGGUCAUUUUCUGUUAAAGCAUCCAGUUCUUAUUUAAGCGUUGUGGAAUGUAGAAGUUCUAGUUUGUCAAUAUAAUUAAAUUCUUGAAUUUACAAAAUAACAAAACUUAGAAUACGCCCCGCCUGUCUCUUAUAAUUUACAAAAUAACAAAACUUAGAAUACGCCCCGCCUGUCUCUUAUCUAGCAGAGCCUUUGCAGCAAUCGAUUUGAUGUGGCCGUUGCAACAAUAAAUUUAUAAGUAGCUUUCACGUUUUUGGCACAUCGUGGUCUUUCGCAAUUUUGUUAUCGGUGGUGUUUCUGGUUUUAUUUGAAAGCUCGUGCCUUUGCUUGUAAAAAAGACAACAAAAUUGAUAAAGAAAAUACGCCGACCAGCGAUCUAUGAUUUCAGACCCUUCAUCCAGAUAUAGAGGUUUGAUAUAUAAUCAAGAGCCGUUAUCGAACAUAAUACCGUCGAGAGAUACUUGUUACUGUCACCAAUUAUGUCACUUCUUUGCGUAUAAAACUCAUCCAAGUACGUGAAGUAAUUAUGCCAAACAAACUAUCGAUCUACGAACUAGAUCUCUGUUGGCUGACAUACCAAGUAUUAGCAUCGAAAGUGGAAAGCUGCCAACAAACGUUGCAUCCAUUCUGAGGUCGGGAUAAUUGUCAAAAUUUAAAACAAAGUUGUCGUGGUGAACUUUGAAAAGGAAUGGACAUUUCAACAGCCGUGCCUCUGGAUUUUAUGGCUGAGGAUUCUCGAAAGGGAGGCCUGAUAUCGGAUUUGCCGUUUGCUUAUCAAUUGACACAAGUGCAUUUGAAUUGUUUGUUUGUGGCUUUUAGGCGCUAACACAUAAAAGAACAACCUAUAAUGCUCCGUGCAAAAGCAAUUUUAAAAUAUAAUUUUUAACCAUGAG